RNAcentral lists this ribosomal RNA (528 nucleotides) under uncultured bacterium. Its description in RNAcentral is "bacterial SSU rRNA". It matches the Rfam family "Bacterial small subunit ribosomal RNA", at positions 355 to 896 of the family's 1533-position model. The record is from RNAcentral.
CAGGGAAUAUUGCACAAUGGGCGAAAGCCUGAUGCAGCGACACCGCGUGCGGGAUGAAGGCCUUCGGGUUGUAAACCGCUUUCAGGAGGGACGAAAAUGACGGUACCUCCAGAAGAAGGCCCGGCUAACUACGUGCCAGCAGCCGCGGUAAUACGUAGGGGCCAAACGUUGUCCGGAUUUAUUGGGCGUAAAGGGCUCGUAGGCGGUUCAACAAGUCGGUCGUGAAAACCCGGGGCUCAACCCCGGGACGCCGGUCGAAACUGUUGUGACUAGGGUCCGGUAGAGGUGAGUGGAAUUCUCGGUGUAGCGGUGGAAUGCGCAGAUAUCGAGAGGAACACCAGUAGCGAAGGCGGCUCACUGGGCCGGUACCGACGCUGAGGAGCGAAAGCAUGGGGAGCAAACAGGAUUAGAUACCCUGGUAGUCCAUGCCGUAAACGAUGAACACUAGGUGUGGCGGAUUCAUUGACAUCUGCCGUGCCGUCGCUAACGCAUUAAGUGCUCCGCCUGGGGAGUACGGCCGCAAGGCUA